AAAGCUGAUGUGGCAUCCGAGUUGGUAAAUAAUUUUUUUCAACUUAACAACAAAUCCACGUCACUAAAUAGAACACGUUGAAAACAUGUAUCUCGUCCUCUCUCUCAUCAACGUUGUUCUUUCUGAAAGUGGAAGGAAAAGAAUUAUAGAAAAAAAAAAGCUUUCAACCUCUAUCUGUAUCUCUUACUUUCUCUUGUCAUCCAUUGCUUUUGGAAUCGAAAAACUCUAAGGCACCCCCAGUUUUUGGUGAAGGAGUUUUGAAAAAUUUUCAAGAUCUAGAGAGUGAAGUGAAACAGUAAGAACAAAACAAAGUUGGUGGUGUUGCAGAGAUUUGGAAACUAGCCCAUCAUAUGUGUUGGUUUUGUAAAACUUUUACAAAGGCUGUAAAGGGUUGGUGGUGGGUUUGUUUCUCAAUUAAAGAGGAACAAAAGCGAAGAAGAAAAAUUUGGUGGGUCCACAUUCAAGGAUGGCUAUCCAAGGGGUUAGUGAAGGCUGUUAAGAAAUAUUUUAAAAUUUAUGAGCAUAGGCUCAUGAUGGAAAUAUUGAUGAUGACGCAAGGAACAUAUUUAUAAAACCUACUGAUUUAUCCAUUAGCGAUAAUCAAAGGAGUUCAACUUUUGAAGCUGUUAAACCAUACACUUCUGGAGGUUAAUAUGAAGCUCAGAGGCAAACUAGACAACCCAAAGACAAAGGAUUUAAGCAUGGAAAUCCAAGACGAAGAGAGGUGCCAUCAAGAUAUAUGCAACAAUUAAAAAAAAUCCAAGAACCGAUUUGAAGCCAUCUUUUUAUAUUUAUCAUAUUUUGUUUGUGGAUUAUGAGACAAAUUGAUAUAUUGUUUUAGGAUAGUUGAACUGUUAUUUUGUGUUUUUUGGUGUUUCAAAGUUGAAAGAGGUCUCUAAGUGCCAAUUGUUUCAGUUGUGAAACUAGGCAAUAAGAUUGCUCAUUUUGUAUUUCUUUUAAGAGGUAAAUUAAUAUUAUCUUUAUUUAA
This is a long non-coding RNA of Ricinus communis (castor bean), 988 nucleotides long. RefSeq lists it as uncharacterized. NCBI's taxonomy places the organism in Eukaryota, Viridiplantae, Streptophyta, Magnoliopsida, Malpighiales, Euphorbiaceae. The record is from RefSeq and is a predicted model, not a curated record. The transcript has 2 exons.